GUGGAUUCAAUCAAUGUGGGGAAAAAGUCGGAUUUGAAUAUUGAUUAGUAUUACACACCAAGUAUCAACUUCUUGUUUCCUUGGACAAUAUCAUUCCCACAAACAUUAACAAGAGAGAAAUUCAACUCUUUUCCGAUCCGAAUAAUCUGAUUGCAGUUCUCGACUUUUCUGAAUGGCAUUUUUAUUGGAGGCUUUAAAGCGUGCUUUCAAAUCACUGAUCCUGGAUAUACUUUAUUAAGUACUUCGAGAAGUACCCAUCUGCUCACAUUAAAUAUGAUAUUAGAUUGCAGCCUCUUGUCAUUUCCAACCAUCUGAAUUUCUGAUUGUUAAAUUAUAAAUUAUUUACCCAUUUCUAACGUCUUCGAAGACAUUAUUGACGUAUGUUUCAAUCCCAAGACUGUUGAUUCAUAGUCUAAAUACUUUCUCUUCUCUUAUUGUCAAUAUAUCAUCUGAGGUUGUUUGUGCAUAUGUUUUCUUUUUGUCUUCUGUGGGUGCUGAUAGACCAUUCCUGUCAAAAAAAUAUGCACACCAUAUCAUUAGAUUAACAGUAAUAAAUUAUUUGUUCAUUAUCAUUUAGACAUCACCAUCACCAUCAUUAGAUAUCUAUAUGCAUUUCUUAAUUUCAAUCAAUUAAAUUUAAAAGGAAAUGUAUUAUCAAUAUAUAAAACUAUAAAAAGGAAUGAAUACAAAAUUUUCUAGAAAAAAGCAAGGAUCUGCUAACUUACUAAGAGCUGACUUUAAAUAUUUUAUAAACUGAAAAUAUCUCUCUAAAAAAAUAUAAAACAUAUAACCAAUGUAAGGAAGUAUGUCAGAACCCCACAAAACAUAUAUCCAUCUAUCCAUGUCAGAAACAUAUAACCCCACAAAACAUCGUGUUUUUUAUCCAUCUAUCCAUAACCAUCCAUCUUGUAUUAGAGUAGACAAUCCCAUCAUUCACAUGUAUUAAGAUUCUAAAUAACAAAUGGUAUCACAGAAAAUCAUAUUCUCAUUAAAUUGGUUUCGUCUUCUUAUUAGUUCAAGUUUAAUUUUAUUAUUUUGUUUCGUCUUUUUGUUUUCAGAUUUUAUCUCUACAUUCUCAAAUUUCCGCCGGACUGCAUAUCUUCAUCUCCUCAUCUAUUGUCGGCGACUUUCAUAGG
RNAcentral lists this long non-coding RNA (1136 nucleotides) under Zostera marina. Its description in RNAcentral is "long non-coding RNA (ZMAR_LNC000299)". The record is from RNAcentral. Lineage: Eukaryota; Viridiplantae; Streptophyta; Magnoliopsida; Alismatales; Zosteraceae.